UAGGGAAUCUUCCGCAAUGGACGAAAGUCUGACGGAGCAACGCCGCGUGAGUGAUGAAGGUUUUCGGAUUGUAAAGCUCUGUUGUUAGGGAAGAACAAGUACCGUUCGAAUAGGGCGGUACCUUGACGGUACCUAACCAGAAAGCCACGGCUAACUACGUGCCAGCAGCCGCGGUAAUACGUAGGUGGCAAGCGUUGUCCGGAAUUAUUGGGCGUAAAGGGCUCGCAGGCGGUUUCUUAAGUCUGAUGUGAAAGCCCCCGGCUCAACCGGGGAGGGUCAUUGGAAACUGGGGAACUUGAGUGCAGAAGAGGAGAGUGGAAUUCCACUUGUAGCGGUGAAAUGCGUAGAGAUGUGGAGGAACACCAGUGGCGAAGGCGACUCUCUGGACUGGAACUGGCGCUGAGGAGCGAAAGCGUGGGGAGCGAACA
RNAcentral lists this ribosomal RNA (428 nucleotides) under uncultured prokaryote. Its description in RNAcentral is "bacterial SSU rRNA". It matches the Rfam family "Bacterial small subunit ribosomal RNA", at positions 355 to 774 of the family's 1533-position model. The record is from RNAcentral.